CAACUUUCCCUGAAGCCCUGUCAUGUGGUGACUGUCUUAUUUCUCACAUCCCUUGUACACAGCACAUGGAGGUGAGCUAAACUGUUUUAAAGAGUUGUCUAUACUUUCCAUUGUUUCUCUCCCUGAAAUGAAGAGGAAUGACAUAAUAUGACAUACGUAACAGGAUCACUUUGGCUGCUCUGUUGGGGAUAGCAAUAAUCCAGAGAGAAGGCAGAAUGGAGACCUAGGAAUCUUCUUGCAUACAAUUUAACCUGUGCCUAAAUCACUUCCUAAUUUAUUAUUUUAACAAGAGAUUUUCUAGAUUUUACAAAUAA
Molecule: long non-coding RNA, 314 nt
Organism: Lagenorhynchus albirostris (white-beaked dolphin)
Lineage: Eukaryota; Metazoa; Chordata; Mammalia; Artiodactyla; Delphinidae
Exons: 3
Source: RefSeq, a predicted model, not a curated record